GCGGAUGUAGCCAAGUGGACCAAGGCAGUGGAUUGUGAAUCCACCAUGC
Molecule: transfer RNA, 49 nt
Filed under: Lathyrus oleraceus subsp. biflorus
Lineage: Eukaryota; Viridiplantae; Streptophyta; Magnoliopsida; Fabales; Fabaceae
Description: Pisum sativum subsp. elatius partial transfer RNA-His
Source: RNAcentral